GGAGACAUUGUUGCGGUGCACACACGUGCCUUUGGCGGUUUCGCCCCUUCCACACUUGUGAAACCUGGGCGCUUGAACCUUGAACUACUCUUUGCCUUCUUAUGACCGGCAAUACGUUCUGUGCGCUUGGUGUCGCGUCGCGUUUGCGCCUUUGCGAAAGCAUUGGCGAAAGUAGCAGAAAUGUUUGGGACCGGUGCUCUCCGUAAUGAUCCCCGUGGAACGUGAACAGUCGACCCUUCACUUGUCCAGAGUUCUGCAACAUAUUUUUACCCAACAAAAGCGAGCGCAAUGACACGGAAUGGGUGGUCCGCAAAACAAAACGUUCAGGAGCUCUGUCGAGUGCGUCUGCGCUGCGACGAAUGCACCGGCCGUUCUUGAAACCUGUCCCCUAGUGUUAUUUUAGUAGUACUGCAGCUGUGGCUGAAUUCCACUACACAGAUAUUCCUGUUUAUAAUCGAAUGCGGCACGUCUGCUAGGUGGGAUCUAGCGCUCAACGAAGUCGAGGCUUACCUACUACACGGUUUUAGGAUAGUCGAUCUGUCCGCGUACUUGUCUUUCUGUUCAAACAACUAUUGGAAUCUCAAGUGAGAAUGGCAGAAUGUAGCAGAGAUCCAAAUCAUGGACGAUUGCGACGCAUUCCAUGUGUACAGGGAUGGUUGUCAAUCCCUACAAGACACAUUUUUGUCCUCUUGGGCUUUCUUGCCCUUGUGAAUGUCUACACUCUCAGAGUGAGCCUAAGCGUGGCCAUUGUGGCAAUGGUGAAGCAUCCUGCAGAAGAGGUGGUCACUGUAAAUGGAACAAGCUUCAUCAAUUAUACCCAGUGCCAACCAGAUGAUGAUUAUCAUUUGACCACUUCUGAUCCACCAGCAGGGCAGCGUGGUGAUCAGGCGGAGCGCUUUGACUGGGAUGCCCAGGUGCAAGGCCUGGUGCUGGGAUCCUUCUUCUACGGCUACAUCUUGACAGUGCUGCCAGGAGGUGUGCUGGCUGAACAGUUUGGGCCGAAGUGGCUCAUUGGCCUUGGUGUUGUCAUCACCAGCCUGCUGUCCAUGGUGCUCCCCGCAGCUGCACAUGCCCACCACCUGAUUGUGGUUGCCAUCCGCAUACUUCAGGGUCUGGCAGAGGGGGUUGUGUUCCCUGCCAUGCACACCAUGAUUGCAUUAUGGACGCCGAUCACUUCUCGGAGCCGUGUCAUCUCGAUCGUGCAGUCUGGCUCUGAUGUUGGUGCUGUGGUUGCCAUGAUGGCAUCUGGUGUUCUAGCUGAAUCAACAUUUCUUGGUGGCUGGCCAUCUAUCUUUUAUAUCUUUGGCUUUGCAGGUAUUAUCUGGUUUAUAGCCUGGUGUUUACUGGCAUUUGACACACCUAGCCAGCACCCCAGAAUCUCAAGAGAAGAACUGGAGUUCAUUAUUGCCAACCAGGGAAAUGAACAGGCGCAGCUGAAGCGGAAGGUUCCAUGGCUCAAGAUAUUGCUGUCCAUCCCUGUUUGGUCGAGUGUCCUCUCACACUUUGGCUUCAAUUGGAUUCACUAUAUUUUUCUCUCUGAAAUGCCCACAUACCUGACAUCAGUGCUGCAUUACAGCCUCGGAGCAAAUGGAUUGCUUUCUGCAGUCCCCUACGUGCUCGGAGCCUUCCUGUGUUGUGUAGCCAGCCUAGUGGCCGAUGUCUUUCGAAAACGUGGCACCAUGUCUAUCACCAACAACAGGAAGCUGUUCAAUAGCUUAGGUGUACUGGUGCCUGGCCUAUUCCUGUUGCUGGUGCCCUUGGCUGGCUGCAAUGGUUUCUGGAACAUGGUACUGCUUGCCGUUGCAGGUGGCUUUCACGGAAUGGGGCAUAGCGGUUUUAUGGCUGCUUUUGUUGAUCUUGCACCAGACUUUGCAGAUGUUGCUAACACUCGGCCAACAAAAUGUUCAGCAGUACACAAACUAGUGCCUUUCAGUUGUAUUAGACUAUGAAGCUGAAAGAGCAGAAAAAUGAUUGCUUCUGUUGCAAGAAAUAAGGAGUGUGAGUGAACGCGCAGUUACUUCCUAGUAGCGACCUUUAUCUGAAGAGGUACCCUUCUGGGAAUAUCCAAUGUAAUUGCCAGCAUUCCCGGAAUUGCCAUACCAGCCAUGCUAGGCGAACUGCUCAAGGAACGG
This 2132-nucleotide unclassified non-coding RNA is filed under the name Dermacentor andersoni. RNAcentral's name for it is "sialin-like". The record is from RNAcentral. Lineage: Eukaryota; Metazoa; Arthropoda; Arachnida; Ixodida; Ixodidae.